Molecule: ribosomal RNA, 500 nt
Filed under: uncultured bacterium
Lineage: Bacteria
Description: partial 16S ribosomal RNA
Rfam family: Bacterial small subunit ribosomal RNA
Source: RNAcentral
AUUGAACGCUGGCGGAAUACUUUACACAUGCAAGUCGAACGGCAGCACGGACUUCGGUCUGGUGGCGAGUGGCGAACGGGUGAGUAAUACAUCGGAACGUGCCCAGUCGUGGGGGAUAACGUAGCGAAAGCUACGCUAAUACCGCAUACGAUCUAAGGAUGAGAGCGGGGGAUCGCAAGACCUCGCGCGAUUGGAGCGGCCGAUGGCAGAUUAGGUAGUUGGUAGGGUAAAGGCCUACCAAGCCGACGAUCUGUAGCUGGUCUGAGAGGAUGAUCAGCCACACUGGGACUGAGACACGGCCCAGACUCCUACGGGAGGCAGCAGUGGGGAAUUUUGGACAAUGGGCGCAAGCCUGAUCCAGCCAUUCCGCGUGCAGGAUGAAGGCCUUCGGGUUGUAAACUGCUUUUGUACAGAACGAAAAGGCUCUGGUUAAUACCCGGGGCUCAUGACGGUACUGUAAGAAUAAGCACCGGCUAACUACGUGCCAGCCGCCGCCGUAA